Molecule: ribosomal RNA, 264 nt
Filed under: Diversispora epigaea
Lineage: Eukaryota; Fungi; Glomeromycota; Glomeromycetes; Diversisporales; Diversisporaceae
Source: RNAcentral
CAGUCAUGCUCGUAGGGAUUCAGCCGGUUCUGCCGGUGUAUUUCCCUACUUGCAGGCCAGCAUCAGUUUUGACCGGUGGAAAAGGUUGGAGGGAAUGUGGCAUCCUCGGAUGUGUUAUAGCCCUCUUUCGCAUACAUCGGUUGGGACUGAGGAACGCAGCACGCCUUUAUGGUCGGUCUUCGGGACACGUACGUGCUUAGGAUGCUGGCAUAAUGGCUUUAAGCGACCGUCUUGAAACACAGACCAAGGAGUCUAACAUAUAUG